CCUACGGGUGGCAGCAGUGAGGAAUAUUGGUCAAUGGACGAGAGUCUGAACCAGCCAAGUAGCGUGAAGGAUGACUGCCCUAUGGGUUGUAAACUUCUUUUAUAAAGGAAUAAAACGAGGCACGUGUGCCUUUUUGCAUGUACUUUAUGAAUAAGGAUCGGCUAACUCCGUGCCAGCAGCCGCGGUAAUACGGAGGAUCCAAGCGUUAUCCGGAUUUAUUGGGUUUAAAGGGAGCGUAGAUGGGUUGUUAAGUCAGUUGUGAAAGGUUGCGGCUCAACCGUAAAAUUGCAAUUGAUACUGGCAGUCUUGAGUACAGUUGAGGUAGGCGGAAUUCGAGGUGUAGCGGUGAAAUGCUUAGAUAUCACGAAGAACCCCGAUUACGAAGGCAGCUUACUAGACUGUGACUGACAUUGAUGCUCGAAAGUGUGGGUAUCAAACAGGAUUAGAUACCCUUGUAGUC
Molecule: ribosomal RNA, 460 nt
Filed under: uncultured bacterium
Lineage: Bacteria
Description: partial 16S ribosomal RNA
Rfam family: Bacterial small subunit ribosomal RNA
Source: RNAcentral